RNAcentral lists this ribosomal RNA (834 nucleotides) under uncultured Sulfurovum sp. Its description in RNAcentral is "bacterial SSU rRNA". It matches the Rfam family "Bacterial small subunit ribosomal RNA", at positions 524 to 1358 of the family's 1533-position model. The record is from RNAcentral. Lineage: Bacteria; Pseudomonadati; Campylobacterota; Epsilonproteobacteria; Campylobacterales; Sulfurovaceae.
UACGGAGGGUGCAAGCGUUACUCGGAAUCACUGGGCGUAAAGCGCGCGCAGGCGGCUAGAUAAGUUGGAAGUGAAAUCCUAUGGCUCAACCAUAGAACUGCUUCCAAAACUGUUUAGCUAGAGUCUGGGAGGGGAAGAUGGAAUUAGUAGUGUAGGGGUAAAAUCCGUAGAGAUUACUAGGAAUACCAAAAGCGAAGGCGAUCUUCUGGAACACUACUGACGCUGAGGCGCGAAAGCGUGGGGAGCAAACAGGAUUAGAUACCCUGGUAGUCCACGCCCUAAACGAUGAAUGUUAGUCGUCGGGAUGCAAGUCAUUUCGGUGAUGCAGUUAACACAUUAAACAUUCCGCCUGGGGAGUACGGUCGCAAGAUUAAAACUCAAAGGAAUAGACGGGGACCCGCACAAGUGGUGGAGCAUGUGGUUUAAUUCGAAGAUACGCGAAGAACCUUACCUAGCCUUGACAUAUUUUAGAACUCCGCAGAGAUGUAGAGGUGCCUUCGGGAGCUAAUAUACAGGUGCUGCACGGCUGUCGUCAGCUCGUGUCGUGAGAUGUUGGGUUAAGUCCCGCAACGAGCGCAACCCUCGUUCUUAGUUACUAACGGUUCGGCCGAGGACUCUAAGAAGACUGCCUUCGUAAGGAGGAGGAAGGUGAGGACGACGUCAAGUCAUCAUGGCCCUUACGGCUAGGGCAACACACGUGCUACAAUGGUUAGGACAAUGAGACGCAAUACCGCGAGGUGGAGCAAAUCUAUAAACCUAAUCUCAGUUCGGAUUGUAGUCUGCAACUCGACUACAUGAAGCUGGAAUCACUAGUAAUCGUAGAUCAGCUAUGCU